GACGACGACUCCGAUCGGACUUGAGCGUGCACGUGGCCUUCUCGGUGUCUGCGUAGCAUGUUCCAUGUGCCUUCCAGUGUAGCAAUCUACGUUGUAACUCGUGCACAAUCAAUUCUUUUCAUGCCAGCUAAAUGGACGUAGGAGUCUACGAGUCUGCGAGCAGCAUACGCAAAAUGGGGAGCAACGACGUACCUCUGCUACCGUGGCCAUAUGUAAUGCCAUUUUUGGAAUGUGUCUCAGAGGAAGACAACAAUCUUUCUGUGAUUUGCAAACUAUGCUUGCCGAAAAACAAGGUGUUGUCCGUCGGGAACACUUCCAACUCCAACCUCAGGAAGCACAUCAAGGUAUGUAUAUCAAGCUGUUAAAGUAUUAUUCAUGUCGUUGACCCCUCCGGUUUCUCAAUGCUUUCUCUGCCUCACAGCUCUUUCAUGACUUUCCAUGCCGUUGUCGUAUGCACGCGAUGUUUGUCGCCAACACUACUGUACACAUAAGGAAGUACUACAUAUUUGUCCUACACGGUCGAUGUUCGGUUACAUAUCUUACUAAUGUAUGCUUUAGAAUGCCGUUUAAACUCGUGUCCCCCCCCUCUCUUAGAAUGUACGUCCAAGCAGAGCUGCAGAGAUUGACUUCAAUGCGCCCGAGCACGGAAAGCGACGGCGGGAACGCGAGGAGAGUCAGGAUUCGUCCCACCAGCGCACCCCGCAGAAGCAAGUACGACCCCAGGACUGUAACUGAGGGAGCUGUAUCGCAUCAACACUACGAGAGGCUCGUCGAUAAUUUUCUCAUCGGAGCAAUACAGCCAUUCGCUGUAGUCGAACAGGACGAUUUUGUCCAGCUGCUGAAAUCCCUUGCUCCCACCAAGAAACAGUUGACACGAUGUAUGCUUGUUGACCGCAUACGUCGACGAUUCAUGGCUAAAGUGAAUGCAGCCGUACCAUCAAGUGUACCAGUGGAACGCCUGUUCAGCGUUUUGGAAACGUUUUUCAGAGGAAACGAGGACGGAUGACCAACGCCAACUUCGACAUGCAGUUAUUAUUAAGAGCGAAUACAGCCUACGUCUAAUUCUGA
Long non-coding RNA from Ornithodoros turicata, 1068 nucleotides. RefSeq lists it as uncharacterized. The transcript has 2 exons. NCBI's taxonomy places the organism in Eukaryota, Metazoa, Arthropoda, Arachnida, Ixodida, Argasidae. The record is from RefSeq and is a predicted model, not a curated record.